RNAcentral lists this transfer RNA (69 nucleotides) under Odontodes seranensis. RNAcentral's name for it is "tRNA-Gln". Lineage: Eukaryota; Metazoa; Arthropoda; Insecta; Lepidoptera; Euteliidae. The record is from RNAcentral.
UAUAUUUUGGUGUAAGAUGCACAAUAGUUUUUGAUACUUUAAGAUAUAGUUUAAUUCUAUAAAAUAUAA